Molecule: non-coding RNA, 78 nt
Organism: Paramuricea clavata
Lineage: Eukaryota; Metazoa; Cnidaria; Anthozoa; Malacalcyonacea; Plexauridae
Source: the annotation of a GenBank genome assembly
GCCUCUGUAUAGCUCAGUUGGUUAGAGCGCUGCACCAGAAUCGCAGGGUCCGCGCAGGUUCAAUUCAUGCCAGGGACC